CAUGUAGGAAUUUAAAAGUUGAACAAACUUCUUCUUUUCAACUUCUUCACCGAAAAAGAAUCCUAAUCCAACAUCGAGGUCGCAAACUAUUUUAUCUAUAUGAACUAUCCAAAAUUAUUACGCUGUUAUCCCUAGAGUAUUUUUUUCAUAUAAUCGUUAAAAACGGAACUAAAUUUUUAUUAAUUAAAAAGAUACUUAUUCUUUUUUCAUCGCCCCAAUCAAAUUUUUUGAAAAAUAAUUUUUUCCCAAAAAAUAAAAAUUCAUAGGGUCUUCUUGUCCCUAAUAAUAAUUUUUGCUUUUGCACUAAAAAAUUAAAUUCAAUUAUUAAAUUAAAGAAAGUCUUUAAUUGUUAAAUCAUUCUCUUAGCACUCAUUUAAAAUCUUAUUUCAAUACCUUCGUAUAGUCAAAAUACCACAGCAAUUUAAAAAAUCAUUGAGCAGAAUUUACAUUUUAUUAUUAUCAAAAUGAAAUGUUUUUGU
This 479-nucleotide ribosomal RNA is filed under the name Ixodes pararicinus. RNAcentral's name for it is "partial 16S ribosomal RNA". The record is from RNAcentral. Lineage: Eukaryota; Metazoa; Arthropoda; Arachnida; Ixodida; Ixodidae.